UCUUUCCUCUGUUCUCGAGUACUGUCUCUUUGGCAACGGUUACGGCCAAGGAGAUCUUAGCUGCGUAAGCGGCAGAGGCUGGAGUCCCUGAUAAAUGGGUGUCUUUAUCGUUCUGCACAGGGUAUGGAGGAUUUGAGGCUCUUUCUUUCUCAGUGCCCCCCCCCAUCGUUGUCUCUUCCUGGACCGUUUUCUAAAUACUGCCUGUUUCUCAGAUGCUGGUCUCUGAAUUUCCCCCAGUGUUUCGUCAGUAACAUCCCUCUGUAAAGCACCCAACACCUCUUUCCUCCUGAUACGUUCACCUUCUCGUUUUACCUUUCUCCUGACCCGAGAGUCUCCCCGCUUGAAUUCUCCUGGGUCGGGAGAAAGUGAUUCUGUGGUGAGGCUGCGCGCCCUGGGAAGGACUCGGACUCCAUCCACGUCUUCACUUUAGUGCUGGGAGAACCAGUGCAAAGACCACAGAUGGGGAAGUCUGCCAGUUCUCGGCUGUGUGACCCUGAGUACACCUCACUGUUUUGAAUUCAUUUAUGAGACAGAGGACCAAUGAAGAAAAUUGAUCUUCCCAAAGUCACAGAAUAUUGGUGAAUCAGGUCAAGAGCACAGUAUUGUAACUGCAAAGACCAGGGAGGGAUUUUUAUAUAUUCUCAUAGGAAAGAGUUCAAAGAUCUUUACAACUCUUGCUGGAAAAUGCCCAAAGUCAAAAGAAGCCGGAAAGCUCCUCCAGAUGGUUGGGAAUUGAUCGAACCAACACUGGAUGAACUAGAUCAAAAGAUGAGAGAGGGUAAGUGGUAGUGUCCUAACUGGGUAGGUUGGAUAUAAGAGGCUCAGGUGCCUCCAACGAUAGACAGACAACUGUAAGAAAAGGCUCAUUGCCAACUGGUCAAGUACUGUUUACUUAUCAACUCAGAAUGCUCGAAAGUCCUGAAAUAGGAUUAUUAGUGUUCAUAUUUCUGAGAGAAAGAUCAGGUGUCUUUUUCACUUUAAGUGUUGUCUUGGAGACAGGGUCUCACUGUAUAAACUUUUUUCAUUACUUUUGACACAGUGUUUCUACAUAGAUCAGUAGAUCAGGCUGGCCCCAAGCUCAUGGAGAGCUGUCUGCCUGUGCCUCCCUAGCACAGAAAUUAAAGGUAUAACAAAUGCCCAGCUUCC
Microtus ochrogaster (prairie vole) is the source of this 1146-nucleotide long non-coding RNA. RefSeq lists it as uncharacterized. The transcript is spliced from 3 exons. Lineage: Eukaryota; Metazoa; Chordata; Mammalia; Rodentia; Cricetidae. The record is from RefSeq and is a predicted model, not a curated record.